Molecule: long non-coding RNA, 536 nt
Organism: Gavialis gangeticus (Gharial)
Lineage: Eukaryota; Metazoa; Chordata; Crocodylia; Gavialidae
Exons: 2
Source: RefSeq, a predicted model, not a curated record
ACAGACACCUCUCAGCAUAAGCUAGCAUACCACGUGCUGGUACAGGUAAGGUGGGGAGAUGGAGGCCCCACUCGGAGGGGUGAGGCCACCUUAGAUUAUCUCACAUCACAACUGUGGCUCUACUAUACUUCACAAAUUAAUCCUUUCUCCUCCUUACGGCUAUAAAUACCCCAGCAAAUUCAUUCCCAGUAUUUAUUGCCAAUUCUGGGAGCAGGGUGCAGAGUUAAGGUUGUUGUGGCAUGUACCUUUACUCUGGUAUUCAGAGGUGUGACUUUUGCUCAAACUCAGUCUUUUGGAAGGACAUGAGAUACCAAUGGACACCCUCAACUCUGCAUUAAAGCUUUUUUUUUUUACUCAAUGAUUUUUUUACUUGGGGUGAUAUAUUCUGGAUAAGUUUAAUUCCCAAGGUCAAAACCUUUUGUACCAUAGUUAUGACAUAUUGAUUUGCAUAAGCACCUUGUCUGCACAGUACUUUCUCUGCAAAUUUUGAAAGAGUAUUGUAUAAGGGGUAAUUAAACCAGUCUGUUUCUACAGCA